Molecule: transfer RNA, 88 nt
Filed under: Desulfuromusa kysingii
Lineage: Bacteria; Pseudomonadati; Thermodesulfobacteriota; Desulfuromonadia; Desulfuromonadales; Geopsychrobacteraceae
Also listed under: 1 other name
Description: tRNA_Ser_TGA
Rfam family: tRNA
About the family: Transfer RNA (tRNA) molecules are approximately 80 nucleotides in length. Their secondary structure includes four short double-helical elements and three loops (D, anti-codon, and T loops). Further hydrogen bonds mediate the characteristic L-shaped molecular structure. tRNAs have two regions of fundamental functional importance: the anti-codon, which is responsible for specific mRNA codon recognition, and the 3' end, to which the tRNAs corresponding amino acid is attached (by aminoacyl-tRNA synthetases). tRNAs cope with the degeneracy of the genetic code in two manners: having more than one tRNA (with a specific anti-codon) for a particular amino acid; and 'wobble' base-pairing, i.e. permitting non-standard base-pairing at the 3rd anti-codon position.
Source: RNAcentral
GGAUGGCUGGCCGAGCGGCUUAAGGCGGUAGUCUUGAAAACUAUUGUGGGGAAACUCACCCGGGGUUCGAAUCCCUGGCCAUCCGCCA